AUACAGAGGGUGCGAGCGUUAAUCGGAAUUACUGGGCGUAAAGCGCGCGUAGGCGGCUUAUUAAGUCAGAUGUGAAAUCCCCGGGCUCAACCUGGGAACUGCAUCUGAUACUGGUAAGCUAGAGUUUUGGAGAGGGAAGUAGAAUUUCAGGUGUAGCGGUGAAAUGCAUAGAGAUCUGAAGGAAUACCAGUGGCGAAGGCGACUUCCUGGCCAAAAACUGACGCUGAGGUGCGAAAGCGUGGGUAGCAAACGGGAGUAGAUACCCCAGUAGUCC
RNAcentral lists this ribosomal RNA (274 nucleotides) under uncultured bacterium. Its description in RNAcentral is "partial 16S ribosomal RNA". It matches the Rfam family "Bacterial small subunit ribosomal RNA", at positions 523 to 796 of the family's 1533-position model. The record is from RNAcentral.